CCUACGGGAGGCAGCAGUGAGGAAUAUUGGUCAAUGGGCGAGAGCCUGAACCAGCCAAGUCGCGUGAGGGAGUACUGCCCUAUGGGUUGUAAACCUCUUUUGUCGGGGAGCAAAAGCCGGACGUGUCCGGCUGUGAGAGUACCCGAAGAAAAAGCAUCGGCUAACUCCGUGCCAGCAGCCGCGGUAAUACGGAGGAUGCGAGCGUUAUCCGGAUUUAUGGGGUUUAAAGGGUGCGCAGGCGGAUUUUUAAGUCAGCGGUCAAAUCGUGGGGCUAAACCCCAUCCAGCCGUUGACACUGGGGAUCUAGAGUGUGCGAGAGGGAUGCGGAAUGCGUGGUGUAGCGGUGAAAUGCAUAGAGAUCACGCAGAACCCCGAUUGCGAAGGCAGCAUACCGGUGCACAACUGACGCUCAGGCACGAAAGCGUGGGUAUCGAACAGGAUUAGAUACCCUUGUAGUC
RNAcentral lists this ribosomal RNA (458 nucleotides) under uncultured bacterium. Its description in RNAcentral is "partial 16S ribosomal RNA". It matches the Rfam family "Bacterial small subunit ribosomal RNA", at positions 338 to 795 of the family's 1533-position model. The record is from RNAcentral.